AACGCACAUUGCGCCUCUCUUUACCGGGAGGCAUGCCUGUCUGAGCGUCAUAUAAAACCAUAAACAAUUGUUUGUGUUGGGCCCUGCGCUGCUGUGCAUCGCCUGAAACUGAUUGGUCUUGUCUGUGGACGAGCUCCUUGUGGACUUACCAUGGCCGACCCCUUGAACAAUUGACCUCAGAUCAGGUAGGGAGACCGCCUGAACUUAA
Molecule: unclassified non-coding RNA, 208 nt
Filed under: uncultured fungus
Lineage: Eukaryota; Fungi
Description: partial contains 5.8S ribosomal RNA, internal transcribed spacer 2, and large subunit ribosomal RNA
Source: RNAcentral